AUACGUAGGGUGCAAGCGUUAAUCGGAAUUACUGGGCGUAAAGCGUGCGCAGGCGGUUUUGUAAGACAGUGGUGAAAUCCCCGGGCUCAACCUGGGAACUGGCAUUGUGACUGCAAGGCUGGAGGGCGGCAGAGGGGGAUGGAAUUCCGCGGGGAGCAGGGAAAUGCGUAGAUAUGCGGAGGAACACCGAUGGCGAAGGCAAUCCCCUGGGCCUGCACUGACGCUCAUGCACGAAAGCGUGGGGAGCAAACAGGAUUAGAUACCCUGGUAGUCCACGCCCUAAACGAUGUCAACUGGUUGUUGGGGAUUUAUUUUCUCAGUAACGAAGCUAACGCGUGAAGUUGACCGCCUGGGGAGUACGGCCGCAAGGUUAAAACUCAAAUGAAUUGGCGGGG
Molecule: ribosomal RNA, 395 nt
Filed under: uncultured bacterium
Lineage: Bacteria
Description: partial 16S ribosomal RNA
Rfam family: Bacterial small subunit ribosomal RNA
Source: RNAcentral